This 497-nucleotide ribosomal RNA is filed under the name uncultured bacterium. RNAcentral describes it as "partial 16S ribosomal RNA". It matches the Rfam family "Bacterial small subunit ribosomal RNA", at positions 28 to 507 of the family's 1533-position model. The record is from RNAcentral.
GACGAACGCUGGCGGCGUGCCUAAUACAUGCAAGUUGAGCGAUGAAGAUUGGUGCUUGCACCAAUUUGAAGAGCAGCGAACGGGUGAGUAACGCGUGGGGAAUCUGCCUUUGAGCGGGGGACAACAUUUGGAAACGAAUGCUAAUACCGCAUAACAACUUUAAACAUAAGUUUUAAGUUUGAAAGAUGCAAUUGCAUCACUCAAAGAUGAUCCCGCGUUGUAUUAGCUAGUUGGUGAGGUAAAGGCUCACCAAGGCGAUGAUACAUAGCCGACCUGAGAGGGGGAGAGGCAACAUUGGGACUGAGACACGGCCCAAACUCCUACGGGAGGCAGCAGUAGGGAAUCUUCGGCAAUGGAAGAAAGUCUGACCGAGCAACGCCGCGUGAGUGAAGAAGGGUUUCGGAUCGUAAAACUCUGUUGGUAGAGAAGAACGUUGGUGAGAGUGGAAAGCUCAUCAAGUGACGGUAACUACCCAGAAAGGGACGGCUAACUACGUG